This 269-nucleotide ribosomal RNA is filed under the name uncultured prokaryote. Its description in RNAcentral is "partial 16S ribosomal RNA". It matches the Rfam family "Bacterial small subunit ribosomal RNA", at positions 524 to 792 of the family's 1533-position model. The record is from RNAcentral.
UACGGAGGGUGCAAGCGUUGUUCGAAUUCACUGGGCGUAAAGCGCGUGUAGGCUGCCUGUUAAGUCAGAUGUGAAAGCCCUCGGCUCAACCGAGGAAGUGCAUUUGAAACUGGCAGGCUUGAGUACGGGAGAGGGAAGCAGAAUUCCUAGUGUAGAGGUGAAAUUCGUAGAUAUUAGGAGGAAUACCUGUGGCGAAGGCGGCUUCCUGGACCGAUACUGACGCUGAGACGCGAAAGCGUGGGGAGCAAACAGGAUUAGAUACCCGAGUA